UACGGAAGGACAGCAGUGGGGAAUAUUGCACAAUGGGCGCAAGCCUGAUGCAGCCAUGCCGCGUGUAUGAAGAAGGCCUUCGGGUUGUAAAGUACUUUCAGUCGUGAGGAAGGUGUUAAGGUUAAUAACCUUAGCAAUUGACGUUAGCGACAGAAGAAGCACCGGCUAACUCCGUGCCAGCAGCCGCGGUAAUACGGAGGGUGCGAGCGUUAAUCGGAAUUACUGGGCGUAAAGGGCACGCAGGCGGUUAAUUAAGUUGGAUGUGAAAUCCCCGGGCUUAACCUGGGAAUGGCAUUCAAGACUGGUUAGCUAGAGUCUUGUAGAGGGGGUAGAAUUCCAUGUGUAGCGGUGAAAUGCGUAGAGAUGUGGAGGAAUACCGGUGGCGAAGGCGGCCCCUGGACAAAGACUGACGCUCAUGUGCGAAAGCGUGGGGAGCA
RNAcentral lists this ribosomal RNA (437 nucleotides) under uncultured bacterium. RNAcentral describes it as "bacterial SSU rRNA". It matches the Rfam family "Bacterial small subunit ribosomal RNA", at positions 340 to 770 of the family's 1533-position model. The record is from RNAcentral.